RNAcentral lists this ribosomal RNA (502 nucleotides) under uncultured bacterium. Its description in RNAcentral is "bacterial SSU rRNA". It matches the Rfam family "Bacterial small subunit ribosomal RNA", at positions 28 to 523 of the family's 1533-position model. The record is from RNAcentral.
GACGAACGCUGGCGGCGUGGAUUAGGCAUGCAAGUCGAACGGUAUCAUCCUUUCGGGGGUGAGAGAGUGGCGAACUGGUGAGUAACACGUAGGUUAUCUACCCUCAAGACGGGGACAACCCAGGGAAACUUGGGCUAAUACCGGAUGUGAGCAACUUUUAGUUGUUUGAAAGGUGGCGUAAGCUGUCGCUUGGGGAUGAGCCUGCGUCCUAUUAGUUAGUUGGUGAGGUAACGGCUCACCUAGGCAAUGAUAGGUAGGCGGCCUUAACGGGUGGUCGCCCACACUGGGAUUGAGAUACGGCCCAGACUCCUACGGGAGGCAGCAGUCGAGAAUAGUCUACAAUGGCCGAAAGGCUGAUAGUGCGACGCCGCGUGAACGAAGAAGCCCUUCGGGUGUAAAGUUCUUUUAUAUGUGAGCAGUGCUUUCUAUGUGAACAGCAUGGGGAGAGAGAUAUUAGCAUAUGAAUAAGCAACGGCUAACUCCGUGCCAGCAGCCGCGGUAA